RNAcentral lists this ribosomal RNA (132 nucleotides) under uncultured bacterium. RNAcentral's name for it is "partial 16S ribosomal RNA". It matches the Rfam family "Bacterial small subunit ribosomal RNA", at positions 118 to 268 of the family's 1533-position model. The record is from RNAcentral.
UGGGAACGUGCUCUUUGGUUCGGAACAACUCCGGGAAACUGGAGCUAAUACCGGAUAAGCCCUUCGGGGAAAGAUUUAUCGCCAAAGGAUCGGCCCGCGUCUGAUUAGCUUGUUGGUGAGGUAAUGGCUCAC